This 253-nucleotide ribosomal RNA is filed under the name uncultured bacterium. RNAcentral's name for it is "partial 16S ribosomal RNA". It matches the Rfam family "Bacterial small subunit ribosomal RNA", at positions 524 to 776 of the family's 1533-position model. The record is from RNAcentral.
UACGGAGGGUGCGAGCGUUGUCCGGAAUCACUGGGCGUAAAGGGCGCGUAGGCGGCCUGGUAAGUAGGGGGUGAAAUCCUGCGGCUUAACCGCAGGGCUGCCUUCUAAACUGUCAGGCUCGAGCACGGUAGAGGCAGAUGGAAUUCCCGGUGUAGCGGUGGAAUGCGUAGAGAUCGGGAAGAACAUCAGUGGCGACGGCGGUCUGCUGGGCCGUUGCUGACGCUGAGGCGCGACAGCGUGGGGAGCAAACAGG